This 78-nucleotide transfer RNA is filed under the name Actinomadura alba. RNAcentral's name for it is "tRNA-Leu". It matches the Rfam family "tRNA". From Rfam's summary of the family: Transfer RNA (tRNA) molecules are approximately 80 nucleotides in length. RNAcentral also lists the same sequence under 1 other name. The record is from RNAcentral. Lineage: Bacteria; Bacillati; Actinomycetota; Actinomycetes; Streptosporangiales; Thermomonosporaceae.
GCGGCUCUAUCCCAGCUGGCAAGAGGAACCGUUCUCAGGAAACGGAAGAGCCGGGUUCGAAUCCCGGGAGCCGCACCA